GGUUCGAUUCCGGAGAGGGAGCCUGAGAAACGGCUACCANAUCCAAGGAAGGCAGCAGGCGCGCAAAUUACCCAAUCCCAAUACGGGGAGGUAGUGACAAUAAAUAACAAUAUGGGGCUCUUACGGGUCUCGUAAUUGGAAUGAGUACAAUUUAAAUCUCUUAACGAGGAACAAUUGGAGGGCAAGUCUGGUGCCAGCAGCCGCGGUAAUUCCAGCUCCAAUAGCGUAUAUUAAAGUUGUUGCAGUUAAAAAGCUCGUAGUUGAAUUUCGGAGUUUGUCGGUUGGUCGGGCUUCACUGUCCGCACUGGCCUGAUGGAUUCCUACCUUCUGAAUAACCAGCAUGCUAUUAAGUUAGUGCGUUGGGGAAGCAGAGCUAUUACCUUGAAAAAAUUAGAGUGCUUAAAGCAGGCUUUUGCUUGAAUAGAUUAGCAUGGAAUAAUAAAAUAGGACGGCAUGGUUCUAUUUUGUUGGUUUCUAGGAUCACCGUAAUGAUUAGUAGGGAUAGUUGGGGGCAUUAGUAUUCAAUUGUCAGAGGUGAAAUUCUUGGAUUUAUUGAAGACUAACUUCUGCGAAAGCAUUUGCCAAGGAUGUUUUCAUUAAUCAAGAACGAAAGUUAGGGGAUCGAAGACGAUCAGAUACCGUCGUANNCUUAACCAUAAACUAUGCCGACUAGGGAUCGGACGAUGUUAAUUUUU
RNAcentral lists this ribosomal RNA (695 nucleotides) under uncultured Glomeromycotina. RNAcentral describes it as "SSU rRNA". It matches the Rfam family "Eukaryotic small subunit ribosomal RNA", at positions 374 to 1071 of the family's 1831-position model. The record is from RNAcentral. Lineage: Eukaryota; Fungi; Glomeromycota.